UCCAGUCUGAUUUUGUAUGUGAGG
This 24-nucleotide non-coding RNA is filed under the name Cricetulus griseus (Chinese hamster). Lineage: Eukaryota; Metazoa; Chordata; Mammalia; Rodentia; Cricetidae. The record is from RNAcentral.